AUUGAACGCUGGCGGAAUGCUUUACACAUGCAAGUCGAACGGCAGCACGGGGCAACCUGGUGGCGAGUGGCGAACGGGUGAGUAAUACAUCGGAACGUGCCCAAUCGUGGGGAUAACGUAGCGAAAGUUACGCUAAUACCGCAUACGAUCUACGGAUGAAAGCGGGGGAUCGCAAGACCUCGCGCGAGUGGAGCGGCCGAUGUCAGAUUAGGUAGUUGGUGGGGUAAAGGCUCACCAAGCCAACGAUCUGUAGCUGGUCUGAGAGGACGACCAGCCACACUGGAACUGAGACACGGUCCAGACUCCUACGGGAGGCAGCAGUGGGGAAUUUUGGACAAUGGGCGCAAGCCUGAUCCAGCCAUUCCGCGUGCAGGGAUGAAGGCCUUCGGGUUGUGAACUGCUUUUGUUACGGAACGAAACGGCGAGCUCUAAUACAGUUUGCUAAUGACGGUACCGUAAGAAUAAGCAACCGGCUAACUACGUGCCAGCAGCCGCGGUAAU
Molecule: ribosomal RNA, 501 nt
Filed under: uncultured bacterium
Lineage: Bacteria
Description: bacterial SSU rRNA
Rfam family: Bacterial small subunit ribosomal RNA
Source: RNAcentral